GAUGAACGCUGGCGGCGUGCCUAAUACAUGCAAGUCGAGCGAACGGACGAGAAGCUUGCUUCUCUGAUGUUAGCGGCGGACGGGUGAGUAACACGUGGAUAACCUACCUAUAAGACUGGGAUAAUUUCGGGAAACCGGAGCUAAUACCGGCUGAUAUUUUGUACCGCAUGGUUCAAAAGUGAAAGACGGUCUUGCUGUCACUUAUAGAUGGAUCCGCGCUGCAUUAGCUAGUUGGUAAGGUAACGGCUUACCAAGGCAACGAUGCAUAGCCGACCUGAGAGGAUGAUCAGCCACACUGGAACUGAGACACGGUCCAGACUCCUACGGGAGGCAGCAGUAGGGAAUCUUCCGCAAUGGGCGAAAGCCUGACGGAGCAACGCCGCGUGAGUGAUGAAGGUCUUCGGAUCGUAAAACUCUGUUAUUAGGGAAGAACAUAUGUGGAAGUAACUGUGCACAUCUUGACGGUACCUAAUCAGAAAGCCACGGCUAACUACGUG
This 497-nucleotide ribosomal RNA is filed under the name uncultured bacterium. RNAcentral describes it as "partial 16S ribosomal RNA". It matches the Rfam family "Bacterial small subunit ribosomal RNA", at positions 28 to 507 of the family's 1533-position model. The record is from RNAcentral.